CUUUCACAGAAGCGAUGGGAUGUCUGAGCACAAGUGGCUGACUUGGGAGUGACUUUAUGAAGGACUUUUCUGCCUUCCUUAGGCAUAAAACAACUGGAAUUCUGCACCUGCAUCAGAAAAGAACCAGACUGAUUCUGCCAUCCAGUAGCAAGAAACUCACACAGCUAAACGGUUUGAAAUUGAAUCAUCAUAAAUUUGCCAACCAGAAAACAAGGAUGGCUGAAGUCACUUUGACCCUUGCCUGCUACACUGAAGAUGCCAAAGUGUUGUGAGAUUUCCAAGGUUCAGCAUAGCAAUGAAUCUACUGUGCUGAAAAUUUGAAAAUGACUCAGCAGGAUAUUUUUCUUCUCAUCAAGAGUUUCCAAGGCUGUCUACUGUUCUGUAUAUGUAGAGAAUAUUUAAGAGCCCCCCCGCAAAAAAAAAGGCGAACUAAUUUUAAAAAGCCUUGUCAAGUGGUCAGACAGACUGGAACUAGAGGAUUAUAGUCCCUUUAGCCCAAGGAAGAAAAAAAGAAAGAAGAGAAAAGAUGGAAGAGGAAUCGAAGGUAGGUGAAAAUUUGAAUAUUUGUCUUCAAAAGGGGUAGAUAUCUUUGGGAUCAUCUGGGCCUAGAGAGCCCCUUGGAGACUUAGAUAUUCCUAAGGGAAUGGGGGUGGGGUAGGAAAGUAAGGAAAGAUGAGGGACAUGAAUAAAAAGGCAUUACUUCAAGAGUCAUGACCAAAGAAGUGCUAGCCUCUUUCUAUAUAUGACAUUGCUGUGAUCACACCUAUCAGAAGGAAGUGUGAAGUUUUAGGCUCUUCUUUGCCUUAAAUGAAGUUGUAAGAAGUGAAAAGAAAAAAGAAUGAAAUCAGAUUAGCAAAAUAAGCAUGAUUUAUUAUUAUCUAAUGUUUUGAAAAUCCAAGUGUUAUCAUUUGAUCGUGAUCAUGAUCAGAAUGAGUUUUCUCCAUAUAUGUGAUCAUUUAUAUACCAUUUUAAGAUUUACAAAACACCUAUUUCACAACUCUAGGAACUGCUGAAAUUAGGGUCCAGCUAUUUAAAGGCCCAGAGACAAGCUUAAUUUGUUUGUUCAACCAAUGGCAUCAUUCCCUUUCUUGACCCAAUCAAAGAGGAGUUCUCACCUCAUAAAAGGAUCAGGGCAUAGAUUCAUCUUUUGAGUUAGUUUAACACCUUAUUAACAUCUUGUGAUUACCUGGGGAUAAGAGGGAAACUCUCUCUUCAUAUAUCAUUAUCUACACUUAAAAAAAAGUCAGAGGUUGGCAUUUCUAGGAGAGAAGGAAACAAAUUAAGAAUAAUACUU
Molecule: long non-coding RNA, 1294 nt
Organism: Gracilinanus agilis (Agile Gracile Mouse Opossum)
Lineage: Eukaryota; Metazoa; Chordata; Mammalia; Didelphimorphia; Didelphidae
Exons: 4
Source: RefSeq, a predicted model, not a curated record